UGGUGGAGUGGUUUGUCUGGUUAAUUCCGUUAACGAACGAGACCUUAGCCUGCUAAAUAGCUACGCGUAGCUUUCUGUUACGCGGGCAGCUUCUUAGAGGGACUUUGCGUGUCUAACGCAAGGAAGUUUGAGGCAAUAACA
This 141-nucleotide ribosomal RNA is filed under the name uncultured eukaryote. Its description in RNAcentral is "partial 18S ribosomal RNA". It matches the Rfam family "Eukaryotic small subunit ribosomal RNA", at positions 1299 to 1458 of the family's 1831-position model. The record is from RNAcentral.